GCCUGCCCUGUGACUAUGGGUUUAACGGCCGCGGUAUUUUGACCGUGCGAAGGUAGCGCAAUCACUUGUCUUUUAAAUGAAGACCUGUAUGAAUGGCAUCACGAGGGCUUAGCUGUCUCCUCUCCCAAGUCAAUGAAAUUGAUCUGUCCGUGCAGAAGCGGGCAUAAGUACAUAAGACGAGAAGACCCUAUGGAGCUUUAGACACCAGGCAGAUCACGUCAAGUAACCUUAAAUUAAUAAGUGGAAACGCAGUGACCCCUAGCCCAUAUGUCUUUGGUUGGGGCGACCGCGGGGGAAAAUAAAGCCCCCAUGUGGACUGGGGGCACUGCCCCCACAGCCGAGAGCUACAGCUCUAAGCACCAGAAUUUCUGACCAAAAAUGAUCCGGCGAACGCCGAUCAACGGACCGAGUUACCCUAGGGAUAACAGCGCAAUCCUCUCCCAGAGUCCCUAUCGACGAGGGGGUUUACGACCUCGAUGUUGGAUCAGGACAUCCUAAUGGUGCAGCCGCUAU
Molecule: ribosomal RNA, 513 nt
Filed under: Salvelinus fontinalis (brook trout)
Lineage: Eukaryota; Metazoa; Chordata; Actinopteri; Salmoniformes; Salmonidae
Description: partial 16S ribosomal RNA
Rfam family: Bacterial large subunit ribosomal RNA
Source: RNAcentral